GCAAAAAAAUAGUUCUGAUGAGCAAUAAAUAGUUCAAAUGAGCAAAAAAAAGUUUAAAUGAGCAAAAAAUAGUUCAUAUGAGCAAAAACAUAGAUCAAAUGAGCCAUACAAAUAUUUGACCAAUAAUUGAUAUUAUCCAAAAAAUCAAAUGAUACAAAAAUAUUUAGUUCAAAUGAGCUAAAAAAUAGUUGCUCAUUUGAACUAACUUUUUGAUUCAUUUUAAAAUAUUUUUUUGCCUAUUUGAACUAUUCUUUUGCUCAUUUGAACUAUUUGUUUUGCUCAUUUAAAAGCUAUGUUUUAGUUAAUGACGGUCAAUAGUUCAAAUGAUCAAUAGUUCAAACGGCAGUAGUUCAAAUGCGGAUCCACUCUCUAGACUAAUGAAAAUUAGCGAGCAAAUGCAAAUUAAUAUAUGAUAAUAAGUUGAAAUACGUGUGUUAUCUAUAUUGAUACUGGGGACUGGGGACAUUGUAAGAUUUUAUACAUUAAUAAUAUUUUAUUCAUUUUUUAUAAUUUCUGUCAGCAACUGAGUUUACUUGUUAAACUAGACUAUAGAAGGGACUGUAGACGCCAUUUUAAUUUUUAAAUAGGGACUAUUCGCAUGUUUGAUUCACAAAGGUACACUGCAAAGGUACACUGAAAAUCUAUAUCUGACCAGCAAAUUCACUUUUCCUCAAAAUGUGGAAAUCUUAAGCAUUCUUGAGAGUAUUGUGAAUGGAACAUGUUAGUCCACAGUCCCUUAAAGGGGUUUAAACUACUGUGCAUAAUGUAAGUUAAUUUAAUUAUUAUUUAGAUUUAGGUCGAUUUUUAUAUUUCAUAAAUCAUCCAUUGUUUCAACCCAAACUCAUAAAUUGUUGGGCAUUCCAUGUCAUCAUUGUAUGUGUCAGAAUUUUAUCAAAUUUCCAAACUUAAAAUGUUAAUAUAAAUAUUGGAAAAUAA
This is a long non-coding RNA of Eurytemora carolleeae, 936 nucleotides long. RefSeq lists it as uncharacterized. Lineage: Eukaryota; Metazoa; Arthropoda; Copepoda; Calanoida; Temoridae. The record is from RefSeq and is a predicted model, not a curated record. The transcript is spliced from 2 exons.